RNAcentral lists this ribosomal RNA (501 nucleotides) under uncultured bacterium. RNAcentral's name for it is "partial 16S ribosomal RNA". It matches the Rfam family "Bacterial small subunit ribosomal RNA", at positions 29 to 523 of the family's 1533-position model. The record is from RNAcentral.
AUUGAACGCUGGCGGCAUGCCUUACACAUGCAAGUCGAACGGCAGCACGGGUGCUUGCACCUGGUGGCGAGUGGCGAACGGGUGAGUAAUACAUAGGAACGUACCUUAUCGUGGGGGAUAACGCAGCGAAAGCUGUGCUAAUACCGCAUACGCCCUGAGGGGGAAAGCGGGGGAUCGCAAGACCUCGCGCGAUUAGAGCGGCCGAUGCCUGAUUAGCUUGUUGGUGGGGUAAAAGCCCACCAAGGCGAUGAUCAGUAGCUGGUCUGAGAGGACGAUCAGCCACACUGGGACUGAGACACGGCCCAGACUCCUACGGGAGGCAGCAGUGGGGAAUUUUGGACAAUGGGGGCAACCCUGAGCCAGCAAUGCCGCGUGAGUGAAGAAGGCCUUCGGGUUGUAAAGCUCUUUUGUCAGGGAAGAAACACCGGCUCUAACACAGUCCGGGAAUGACGGUACCUGAAGAAUAAGCACCGGCUAACUACGUGCCAGCAGCCGCGGUAA